UGUGCAGGCGGGCUUGUAAGUCAGUGGUGAAAUACUGCCGCUUAACGGUAGAACUGCCAUUGAUACUGCAAGUCUUGAAUAUGGUUGAGGUAGGCGGAAUGUGUUGUGUAGCGGUGAAAUGCAUAGAUAUGACACAGAACGCCGAUUGCGAAGGCAGCUUACUAAGCCAUUAUUGACGCUGAGGCACGAAAGCGUGGGGAACGAACAGGAUUAGAUACCCUGGUAGUCC
Molecule: ribosomal RNA, 229 nt
Filed under: uncultured bacterium
Lineage: Bacteria
Description: partial 16S ribosomal RNA
Rfam family: Bacterial small subunit ribosomal RNA
Source: RNAcentral